UUCAAACCAGAAGGAAGAGUAAUCCUUUCUUAUCACAGCCUUUUAGUUCCAGAACAGGAGAAAAAGGGGCGAGCCGUAGGCUGCACGUAGCUGUAGGCUGGCUUCCUCAACCCAGGGGUCUUCCCAGUGCCCGGCACUAGAAACCAAGCUCCCACUCAUCACCUAUAGCACGUGUAGCCCUGUUGUACUACCAUUUGAAAUUCCUUCUCUGAAGUAUCUAGCUUACUGCAGAGUUGAAGACCGUUUCUCAAAUCACUGGAGUAUUUUCAGUAGCAAUAGAGCAUAGCCUGGAAUAUGAAUGUCACCUUGAUCAGCUUCUGCUUAAAUGGGGGAGAUCUUCCCCCAAGUGCAGGGAACACUUAUCUUCAUGUGUAUGGGCCCGUAACCUCACGGCUGAGUCAAUCCCAUCUUUUCUGUUUCAGUAAUUGUGGCCUCUUCAAGUGGGAACGGGACGGAAUGUUAAAGGAAAAGACAGGUCCAAAGAUAGGAGGAGAAACCCUGUUACCAAGAGGAGAAGAACAUGCCAAAUUCCUGAAUAGCCUUAAAUAGCCCCGACUUCAAACAGGAGAGUAAGUCUGUUUGCCUGAGUUGUCACUGCUUAGCAGCCCAUCAGAGCCUCUGCUCUUACAGGUAAAACAGACAUCUCAGAUGCCAUGAGGAGAGCUUUGGAAACAGCACCACUCAAAAGAAGGAUGACUGACCCCCAAAAUGAAAUUCUGUAUUUGCCAAUAUUGAAGAAAGAAACGGUGAUAUAGCUAAAGAAAAUAACAGAGAGGCACAGAAGGUGGAAGAAAUCAGUUGGCAUCAGUCGGCAGCAGUUUGUGGAAAAGCUGUGGAAUUUUAGAAAAUUAAAGAAAGACAAUAUAGCCCCACAGCUGAACUCUCCAGAUCAAAAUGGGGAAGAGGCCUGCCAUGUCCUGCACAGUCAGACCAUGUAUCCAGUAAAACUGACCUGCAUUUUGGAGAAAAGCGGGACGUCAGUAUUCGAGGUGGUGAAAACUCAAAGCCAUUUCACCGAAGAAAGGAAGAAAGAACUAGAAAUAUAGAGAGAGUGGAUUUUUGUUAUUCACAGUAAUUAUGUUUCAUAGAGUCACCAGCUGAACUAGCAGAUACCCAGUCACUGCUCCUAGAGGAAAUACAGGCUUAGGUUCCCUUGAGCCUCUGGUCACGUCGUCUUCACCGGAUCAGUACAUAACCUUGUAUUAUGUGCGUUUCUGUUUAAAGACACCUUAUUUAAUAUGUAUCGUCGAUUCAUUAACGCGGAACUCACAGCCGACAGCAGUGUAUCUCCUAGUGGAACAAAGCUGAUCUCAGCGCGCGCUUUUCCUCCAGAGGGUGCAUCCCAGCCUUCUUGCCCUCGGGAACACUUACGCACUGUGCCCGUGGGCCAUUUUCAGCAGCAAGAGUACACCAAAGACGCACAAAACUGUGAUGAACAUGGCAUGAAAAGGACAUCUUUUUACAGCAUCAGAACUGAAACCAGCAAAAGUUGUUGCUUUGUUCUACCUCAGCUGAGAACAACUUAGAUUUCUCGUUGGUCUGCACAUGUGCAUGUCCAUAAGUGACCACAAAAAAACCGCAUGUAUUGCUUUUGGAGUUAAAAAUUUUAACAAUUAGGUGAAUUUGGAAAAACAUGGAAUCCACAAAUAAUGAGGAGCAACUGUGUAAUAUUUCCCAAAACAGGGCCAGAUCCGGGAGUGUCCCCAUUUUGCAGAUUAGAAAAUUAAGUGAUUUGAAAAUAUGGGAAGAAACCAGGACUGCAAUCAAGUCUGUGGUAAUGUUGCUUAAGCAGAGACUCCUCUAUUGGUAUUUCUUUAAGUCAACUUUAUUAAGGGCUAAAUUUCACACAGCAAAAGGCACGCAUCUUAAGUGUACAGUUUGGUAAAUUUUGAUGAAUUUAUAUAUCCACGUGACCACCACCACAAGCAAGAUAGAGAACAUUCCCACCACCCCAAAAAGUUGCCUCUGCCACUUCCCAGUCAGGCCACAUGCCCUGGUCCCAUCCAUCACUGAUCUGUUUAUAAUCUGUUUAGAUCUGUCUUUCCUAGAGUUUCAUAUAAAUGGAAUCAUACAGAAUGUACUCUUACACUUCACUCUGCAUAUUUGGAAAUAAAUCCAUGUUAUCGCCUGUGUCCACAGUUCAUUUUUUAUUGUUGAGUAUUUCAACUGUAUGGAUAUGUCACUAUUUAUUCACCUGUAGAUGGACAUUUGGGUUCGCUUGUUUCCAGUUUGGGGCUGUUAUGAAUAAAGCCAUUAGCAAUAUUCAGGUAUAAGUCUUUCUCUGGAUAUGUUUUUGUUUCUCUUAGGUAAAUACCUAGGAGUGGGAUUUCUGGUAAGUAUGUUUAGCUUUAUAAGAAACUGCUAAACUGUUUUCCAAAGUGGUCUUUUACAUACCCGCUAGUGAGUCAUGAGAGUUCCGUCUGCUCCACAUCCUCACCAAUGCUUGGUAUUGUCAGUCUUUUCAGUUUUAGCCAUUCUGAUGGGUGUGUGGUGGGAUC
This is a long non-coding RNA of Physeter macrocephalus (sperm whale), 2498 nucleotides long. RefSeq lists it as uncharacterized. The transcript is spliced from 3 exons. Lineage: Eukaryota; Metazoa; Chordata; Mammalia; Artiodactyla; Physeteridae. The record is from RefSeq and is a predicted model, not a curated record.